AGCGUUGUUCGGAAUCACUGGGCGUAAAGCGCCCGUAGGCGGAUUUGUAAGUCAGGGGUGAAAUCCCGGGGCUCAACCUCGGAACUGCCUUUGAUACUGCGAGUCUUGAGUCCGAUAGAGGUGGGUGGAAUUCCUAGUGUAGAGGUGAAAUUCGUAGAUAUUAGGAAGAACACCAGUGGCGAAGGCGGCCCACUGGAUCGGUACUGACGCUGAGGUGCGAAAGCGUGGGGAGCAAACAGG
RNAcentral lists this ribosomal RNA (240 nucleotides) under uncultured bacterium. RNAcentral describes it as "partial 16S ribosomal RNA". It matches the Rfam family "Bacterial small subunit ribosomal RNA", at positions 537 to 776 of the family's 1533-position model. The record is from RNAcentral.